GGGGGCGGUGAAUAAAGAAAGGCUCGUAAAAUAGAUUAAGAGUUUGAGGGGUUUACCAGAGGGUUUUUAAGUCUAAGUGUGAAUGUAUUUAAGGGUGGAAAGAGAACAUUUGCUCCUUCUUUCACUCGCACAUUCAUUCACACCCCCUUGCCUGAGCCCCUCCGCGCAGCCAUCAGUCUCAGGGCUGCUUGAAUGUCUUCAUGAUGUGGUGGCUGACUUCCUCCAGAGCUGGUGAUCCAAGAGGGCAAGACAGCAGCUCCAUCUUUUGUGACCUAACUUCAGAAGUAACACUCUAUCAUUUCCACACUAUCUUACUGGUUACAUAGAAAAUCACUCCCAAAAUGUUAGAACAAGAAGAAACUUGUUCCUCCAUCUUCAAUGAAAAUAAGAAUCUUUAGAAACCCCACCAAGACUGCAAGUAGUUGGAGAAUUGGUCAAAUUCAAGUGCCUGCAUUUGGAUUUGGGGAAGUGGUUGGUCACCUUAUUGCCCUUCAAGAAUGCUGACCAGUCAACAAAGCCCUUCCAUGUAGCAGGGGCUUUCCAUCAGCUCAGCUUUCAACAACAAGGGGCAACCAAAGAUCAUCAUACAACUGGGGAGUGCCUCCGUCAUGACAGAUGGAGACCAAAAAACUGACAAACCGGGGGGAAAAACUCAAAGAAAACAGAAUUUCAGAGUUAUUGGGAGGACUAAGGGAAAAAAAACCAAAAAAUUAUAACUCAUAUCUUCAGAGAUCUCAAACCCAUGAAGUAAAGACUACAAAAAGAAAGUUCUUUGAAAUUAAAUUUGAAAAUAAAAUAUAAAAUUCAAUAAAAGGUUGGAAGACAAAGUCACAGAAAUUUCCAGAAAGAAAAUAUAGGAAAGUGAGAGUUUUGGUGAACAAGGGACAUCAAAUAAUAGGUAUUCCAGAAGAGAGAUCAGGGGAGGAAAUUAAGUAAAUAAUAUAAGAAAUGACUAAAAUAAGGGGAAGAAGUUAAGCAAAUUACAUAAGACAAUUACCAGAACUGAAAGACAGGAGUCUCUAAGUCAAAAAAGAUCUCCUGAGCAUCAGCAAUAAUGAAUGUAAAGAGACCCACACCAAAACACAUUGUGAUAUUUUGAAACACUUGAAAUGCAAUUUACAUCCUAAAUGCUCUCAGAGAGAAGAAAAAAAAAAAAAAAAAAACAGUCCAUGUACAAAGAAUCAGAAAUCAGAAUGGCAUCAGAAUUCUCAAUAACACUGGAAAUUAGAAGACAGUAAAACAAUGCAUUUAAAAUUCUAAGGAAAAAUUACUUUUCCUCAGGAUUAUAUAUCUAGCCAGAUUACCAAUCUUUAGUAAAUUUUGAAAAGAAAGUGUUUUUCCAUGUCUCACAAAAUUGACCUCCCAUGAAUCAUGCAUGUUUUUUAGGAGCCUUUUAGAUGAAUGGGCUUUAGUAAAACAGGGGUGUAAAGCAAAAAGGAAGGAGACACGGGAUCCAAGAAACAGAAUCCAACAUGGAAUGGGGGCAGGGGAACUCUCAGGAUAUUGGUUUAAUGCAAUUUCAGGCCCAUAGCUGCUUAGUGGAACAUUGAGAGGAAGCAAUACAGAUUGAAAGGUUGGAGGACUUCAGGAUCAAUGUAUCCAAGACAGACAUGGAAUUGGUAAACAGUUUUGGUCAUAUGGAAAAAUGUAUCAAGAGUGUUUCAGAGCUGUUAGAGGGUGUGGGAAAACUUGAGAUGUUGAAAGAGAACUAACAAAGGGAAACAUCUAUUCACUCCAGGAAAAUAAAUCAUGUAAGAAAGAAAAUAUA
Mustela lutreola (European mink) is the source of this 1768-nucleotide long non-coding RNA. RefSeq lists it as uncharacterized. Lineage: Eukaryota; Metazoa; Chordata; Mammalia; Carnivora; Mustelidae. The transcript is spliced from 4 exons. The record is from RefSeq and is a predicted model, not a curated record.